ACGCUGGCGGCAGGCCUAACACAUGCAAGUCGAGCGGAAACGAGUUAUCUGAACCUUCGGGGAACGUUAAGGGCGUCGAGCGGCGGACGGGUGAGUAAUGCCUAGGAAAUUGCCUUGAUGUGGGGGAUAACCAUUGGAAACGAUGGCUAAUACCGCAUAAUGCCUACGGGCCAAAGAGGGGGACCUUCGGGCCUCUCGCGUCAAGAUAUGCCUAGGUGGGAUUAGCUAGUUGGUGAGGUAAUGGCUCACCAAGGCGACGAUCCCUAGCUGGUCUGAGAGGAUGAUCAGCCACACUGGAACUGAGACACGGUCCAGACUCCUACGGGAGGCAGCAGUGGGGAAUAUUGCACAAUGGGCGAAAGCCUGAUGCAGCCAUGCCGCGUGUAUGAAGAAGGCCUUCGGGUUGUAAAGUACUUUCAGUUGUGAGGAAGGGGGUGUCGUUAAUAGCGGCAUCUCUUGACGUUAGCAACAGAAGAAGCACCGGCUAACUCCGUGCCAGCAGCCGCGGUAAUACGGAGGGUGCGAGCGUUAAUCGGAAUUACUGGGCGUAAAGCGCAUGCAGGUGGUUCAUUAAGUCAGAUGUGAAAGCCCGGGGCUCAACCUCGGAACUGCAUUUGAAACUGGUGAACUAGAGUACUGUAGAGGGGGGUAGAAUUUCAGGUGUAGCGGUGAAAUGCGUAGAGAUCUGAAGGAAUACCAGUGGCGAAGGCGGCCCCCUGGACA
This 723-nucleotide ribosomal RNA is filed under the name Vibrio sp. 13H12. RNAcentral's name for it is "bacterial SSU rRNA". It matches the Rfam family "Bacterial small subunit ribosomal RNA", at positions 33 to 735 of the family's 1533-position model. Lineage: Bacteria; Pseudomonadati; Pseudomonadota; Gammaproteobacteria; Vibrionales; Vibrionaceae. The record is from RNAcentral.